This 320-nucleotide RNase P RNA is filed under the name Acidovorax sp. A1169. RNAcentral's name for it is "RNase P RNA component class A". It matches the Rfam family "Bacterial RNase P class A". From Rfam's summary of the family: Ribonuclease P (RNase P) is a ubiquitous endoribonuclease, found in archaea, bacteria and eukarya as well as chloroplasts and mitochondria. Its best characterised activity is the generation of mature 5'-ends of tRNAs by cleaving the 5'-leader elements of precursor-tRNAs. The record is from RNAcentral. Lineage: Bacteria; Pseudomonadati; Pseudomonadota; Betaproteobacteria; Burkholderiales; Comamonadaceae.
GAAGCGCGCCAGACCGCCGCUGGUGCAAUCUGGGAAACCAGGCACUGGAGGAACGUCCGGACUGCACAGGACAGCGUAGCAGCUAACGGCUGCCCACCGUGAGGUGAGGAUUAGAGCAACAGAGACGAGCCGAUUAAGUUCGGAUGAAACGGGCAAUCUCUACGCGCAGCAAUACCAAGUAGGCCAACGUUGAUGUGGUUCCGCAGAGUUGGCGGGUAGGUAGCAUCGAGCCGUGGUGGCGACACCCGGCCCAGAGUAAUGGCGGUCACGCCGCGGGCAACCGUGGUGCACAGAAUCCGGCUUAUCGGCGCGCUUCACAC